AAAUAGAUAGCUUAAGUUUAAAGCCUCGCAUUGAAGAUGCUAAGAUAGAAUUAUCUUCUGUUUA
Molecule: transfer RNA, 64 nt
Filed under: Carychium tridentatum
Lineage: Eukaryota; Metazoa; Mollusca; Gastropoda; Ellobiida; Ellobiidae
Description: tRNA-Phe
Rfam family: tRNA
About the family: Transfer RNA (tRNA) molecules are approximately 80 nucleotides in length. Their secondary structure includes four short double-helical elements and three loops (D, anti-codon, and T loops). Further hydrogen bonds mediate the characteristic L-shaped molecular structure. tRNAs have two regions of fundamental functional importance: the anti-codon, which is responsible for specific mRNA codon recognition, and the 3' end, to which the tRNAs corresponding amino acid is attached (by aminoacyl-tRNA synthetases). tRNAs cope with the degeneracy of the genetic code in two manners: having more than one tRNA (with a specific anti-codon) for a particular amino acid; and 'wobble' base-pairing, i.e. permitting non-standard base-pairing at the 3rd anti-codon position.
Source: RNAcentral